This 305-nucleotide ribosomal RNA is filed under the name uncultured bacterium. RNAcentral's name for it is "bacterial SSU rRNA". It matches the Rfam family "Bacterial small subunit ribosomal RNA", at positions 334 to 656 of the family's 1533-position model. The record is from RNAcentral.
CGUUCCUACGGGAGGCAGCAGUGGGGAAUAUUGCACAAUGGGGGGAACCCUGAUGCAGCAAUGCCGCGUGGGUGAAGAAGCACUCCGGUGCGUAAAGCCCUGUCAGCAGGGAAGAAAAUGACAGUACCUGGACAAGAAGCCCCGGCUAACUACGUGCCAGCAGCCGCGGUAAUACGUAAGGGGCAAGCGUUAUCCGGAUUUACUGGGUGUAAAGGGAGCGUAGACGGCGCGGCAAGUCUGAAGUGAAAGGCAGGGGCUUAACCCCUGAACUGCUUUGGAAACUGCCAUGCUAGAGUGCUGGAGAG